Molecule: ribosomal RNA, 440 nt
Filed under: uncultured bacterium
Lineage: Bacteria
Description: partial 16S ribosomal RNA
Rfam family: Bacterial small subunit ribosomal RNA
Source: RNAcentral
CCUACGGGAGGCAGCAGUAGGGAAUAUUGCUCAAUGGGGGAAACCCUGAAGCAGCAACGCCGCGUGGAGGAUGAAGGUUUUCGGAUUGGAAACUCCUUUUGUUAGAGAAGAGAAUGACGGUAUGUAACGAAUAAGCACCGGCUAACUCCGUGACAGCAGCCGCGGUAAUACGGAGGGUGCAAGCGUUAAUCGGAAUGAUUGGGCGUAAAGAGCGCGUAGGCGGGUUAGCAAGUCAGAUGUGAAAUCCUAUGGCUUAACCAUCGAACUGCAUUUGAAACUGUUAGUCUAGAGUAUGGGAGAGGUAGGUGGAAUUCUUGGUGGAGGGGUGAAAUCCGUAGAGAUCAAGAGGAAUACUCAUUGCGAAGGCAACCUGCUAGAACAUAACUGACGCUGAUGCGCGAAAGCGUGGGGAGCAAACAGGAUUAGAUACCCGAGUAGUC